Molecule: ribosomal RNA, 451 nt
Filed under: uncultured bacterium
Lineage: Bacteria
Description: bacterial SSU rRNA
Rfam family: Bacterial small subunit ribosomal RNA
Source: RNAcentral
GGUGAACGCUGGCGGCGUGCCUAACACAUGCAAGUCGAGCGGUGCAGUUUGAAGCUUCGGUGGAAAGCUGCAUAGCGGCGGACGGGUGAGGAAAACGUAGGAACGUGCCCCUUGGAGUUGGAUAGCCACGGGAAACUGUGGGUAAACCGACAUAGACUCGAGAGAGUAAAGGCCGAAAGGCGCCAAGGGAGCGGCCUGCGGCCCAUCAGGUAGUUGGUAGUGUAAAGGACUACCAAGCCGACGACGGGUAGCCGGUCUGAGAGGAUGGCCGGCCACAAGGGCACUGAGAGACGGGCCCUACUCCUACGGGAGGCAGCAGUGGGGGAUUUUGGACAAUGGGCGAAAGCCUGAUCCAGCGACGCCGCGUGGAGGACGAAGCCCUCGGGUGUAAACUCCUUUCUCAGGAAAAGGAUGAUGGUACCUGAGGAAUAAGCCCCGGCCUAACUACGUG